Molecule: ribosomal RNA, 617 nt
Filed under: uncultured bacterium
Lineage: Bacteria
Description: bacterial SSU rRNA
Rfam family: Bacterial small subunit ribosomal RNA
Source: RNAcentral
AGUCGAGCGAGCGGAACUACAGAUUUACUUCGGUAAUGACGUUAGGAAAGCGAGCGGCGGAUGGGUGAGUAACACGUGGGGAACCUGCCCCAUAGUCUGGGAUACCACUUGGAAACAGGUGCUAAUACCGGAUAAGAAAGCAGAUCGCAUGAUCAGCUUUUAAAAGGCGGCGUAAGCUGUCGCUAUGGGAUGGCCCCGCGGUGCAUUAGCUAGUUGGUAAGGUAAAGGCUUACCAAGGCGAUGAUGCAUAGCCGAGUUGAGAGACUGAUCGGCCACAUUGGGACUGAGACACGGCCCAAACUCCUACGGGAGGCAGCAGUAGGGAAUCUUCCACAAUGGACGCAAGUCUGAUGGAGCAACGCCGCGUGAGUGAAGAAGGUUUUCGGAUCGUAAAGCUCUGUUGUUGGUGAAGAAGGAUAGAGGUAGUAACUGGCCUUUAUUUGACGGUAAUCAACCAGAAAGUCACGGCUAACUACGUGCCAGCAGCCGCGGUAAUACGUAGGUGGCAAGCGUUGUCCGAAUUUAUUGGGCGUAAAGCGAGCGCAGGCGGAAGAAUAAGUCUGAUGUGAAAGCCCUCGGCUUAACCGAGGAACUGCAUCGGAAACUGUUUUUCUUGA